CGUUUGUGCCUAGCCUGACAAUGGCCCGUUUCUGCACACAAUAAUCGCUUACGGCCAUACCACCCUGAACACGCCCCUUUUUUCCAGCAGUCCAGACUUGACCCAAUGGCCUACGAUGUCCUCGUAGGAUCAGUCUGUGACAAAGAGCACUGGACACUUGUUUGUGGUCAUUUAUCCAAAGGAGAAGCGGGCACUUUACAUGGACCCCUCUGGCGAUACAAAGAAGUGCAAGGACAUGACUAAGGCAAGU
Non-coding RNA from Labrus bergylta (ballan wrasse), 250 nucleotides. The record is from RefSeq and is a predicted model, not a curated record. Lineage: Eukaryota; Metazoa; Chordata; Actinopteri; Labriformes; Labridae.